GAGGAUGAAAGUGUAUAGGGAACUGGAGGGCAGAGGAGCCGGGUCCCUAUUGUUUGCCUGGUAGAAAGGUCCAGUCUUGCUGUAUCCUCCGACUCACUCCACUCUGUCUUUGUCUUUGUGAUUUUGGGUUCUGUUCUGCCAUUUUUGCUUCUCAAAGAAACCUAAUUGCAGUUUAAACCUGAUUAGCGAAAAUCGGAUGGUUUAAGGUUAUGCACUUGCUUUGGAUGUGACUGCCAGAGAAAUUCAAGCUUCUGCGAAGAUUAAAAGUUAGGAUCUGCAGAGAGUAGAAAGUGAAAAAGGGCAAAGGAAAGCGAUGCUGACUCUGGAAAGAUGGUUCAAGUGUCUGUUGGAGAAAUUUGGAUCGUUGGAGGAAGAAGUUGGUUCCUUACCAUUUUGAGGUAUAUAAUUAUACACCCUCAUUUUUAUUCAAAGCCUAAUUAGUUAUUUACAUUUUUUAAUUCAUCUCUGUAAAGCUUUCAUGCUUGGAUUUAAAUAUAUAAUUCAAUUUUUUUCAUUUGAACUUAGAACCUAAACCCUAAACCCUAAUGGAUUUACUUUGGAAAUUUCAAAAAUUUGGAUAGUUGGAGGAAGAAGUUGGUUCCUUACCAUUUUGAGGUAUAUAAUUAUACACCCUCAUUUUUAUUCAAAGCCUAAUUAGUUAUUUACAUUUUUUAAUUCACCUUUGUAAAGCUUUCAUGCUUGGAUUUUAAAUAUAUAAUUCAAUUUUUUUUCAUUUGAACUUUUGGAUCGUUGGAGGAAGAAGUUGGUUCCUUACCAU
Molecule: long non-coding RNA, 778 nt
Organism: Pyrus x bretschneideri (Chinese white pear)
Lineage: Eukaryota; Viridiplantae; Streptophyta; Magnoliopsida; Rosales; Rosaceae
Exons: 4
Source: RefSeq, a predicted model, not a curated record